RNAcentral lists this long non-coding RNA (3223 nucleotides) under Pan paniscus (pygmy chimpanzee). RNAcentral's name for it is "lncRNA (ENSPPAG00000045141.1)". Lineage: Eukaryota; Metazoa; Chordata; Mammalia; Primates; Hominidae. The record is from RNAcentral.
UGGGGGUUUUCUAUUAUGGGGUGACCCUGGGGUUCUCUAUUAUCGAGGUGACGCUGGGGUUUUCUGUUAUCAGGGUGACCCUGGGGUUUUCUAUUAUCGGGGUGACCCUGGGAUUUUCUAUUAUUGGGGUGACCCUGGGGUUCUCUAUUAUCGAGGUGACGCUGGGGUUCUCUGUUAUCAGGGUGACCCUGGGGUUUUCUAUUAUCGGGGUGACCCUGGGAUUUUCUAUUAUUGGGGUGACCCUGGGGUUCUCUAUUAUCGAGGUGACGCUGGGGUUUUCUAUUAUCAGGGUGACACUGGGGUUUUCUAUUAUGGGGUGACCCUGGGGUUUUCUAUUAUCGAGGUGACCCUGGCUCCCGUGGCAAAUGCUGUCCCCAGUAGCACGUGGGGCUCUUCAGCUUACCUGAGCGCCGCGUCUCCAUGGGCGGCAAUUUCUCGGAGGCCUGGCACGGCGGCACCGGAAGCAGGGUCGACCAGGGAGCACAGAGCCCUGAACAUCCCUUCAACAGCGUGCCACACACUCCCGGCACAAACUCCAGACCACGGCACAGCACCCAGACGGCUGCAGCCACGCAGAAACCCACAACUGCCAGGACCGUGGGGUGACAGCCACGGUGGGCUCUGCAGGCCCCUCUGGUCUAAGACACCAGGAGGCCACAUCCAGCAACCAAGGCCACCGGGCAGGACACGUCAGGAUGGAGGUGCAGUGAAGACUGCGGUGGACGCCUCCAGAAGGUUCCCACGUGGUGUCCAGUGGAGCCUCUGCCAAACCCGGCCUGUGCAAGGGCAGAGACAAGGCCCAGCAGGGCUCGAGCAGGCCCAAACGCACGACGCAGCUGCUGUGCCUGGGUCUGAGCUGCACCCACAGUUUUCCUGGCGUCUUGUCCUCUGGAUGGGCCUCUGGAUGAACAUAAACUCCAGGGAGGCUGCAUAGAAUAUGCAGCUCUUCUUUAACACUCCCUAGAGGAAGAAAGCCCCUCAGCAGGAAGUAUUGUUGACGUCGCCGCCACUACUAAUGAAAUAUUUACUGAAAAGCCAAAGCGAAACAUUUUUCUAGUUAAUUAAAACAGUGCAUCUUUCAAGCAAGCUCCCUCGAGGGGCCAGGCUAGGACGGACCCAGCGGGCAGGCAGCCCGAGGUGCUCCUGAGUGGGGUCUCGACUGGGAAGGGGGCGCCCAGGACGCAGGUGGGGUUCCUGCUGCACGACACUGAGGGGUGGGGGGACAGACGCUGCAGAGACCCUGCGAAAGGCCCCUCCCGAUGGGUAAACUCACACUUGGUACGCGCUGGCAGGGGCAUCUGGGCCUGCACUCUGGAAUUGGUGGUGGUCCCGGGAAGGUUUUUUGGGCCAGGGACAAGAGUACUUGGGUUUGCUUUCUGGAAAAAUGAAAAAAGAGAAGUUUCUGUGUUCUCUCAGCUGUGUUAAACGCUGGCAGAAGUUGCCUCUCGGACCCUCCGCAGGGCUAUGACAGGCUGGAGAAGUGGGGGCUCGGGAGGGAGCUCAAACAGCCUGCAGACUCCGCCGCAGAGUCCGCACCCCUGGAAGGAGGCGUCGGGGAAGGCACUGCAUCCACGCAUGGCUUCGAGGGCAGGAGGCAGGUUGCACAGCGAGGGGUCACAGGCUCCUCCGUCCCAGGUGGGACUGGGCGAUCCCAGACAUGUGUGCUGUGGCCUCUGGGCCUCAUGCAGAGAGCAGAUGCCAGGGCCUGCAACUCUGACCUCUGAGCACACAGGCCGGCCUCAGGGAAGGGUUGUUCUGGCUGUGGGAACCUGAACUCAAAAUGGCCUCCGUUCGCUGCAGACACUGCCCGCCUGCGCCGGGGACUCAGCCCAGGCAGCUUUGCACACACCUCAGCACCACCCACCCUCAGGCCUCAGCCGCGCUACCCAGCGGGCGCUUUUGCCCAGAACGCCUGCUCAGAACACCGUGAGCCACUGCCCGGCGCUGAGCCGGGGCCUCCAGAACGUGAACCAAGCGGCUGCAGCCCAGGCCCAGGGCCACCGGCAUCACCCCAUGGCAGCUGCAGGACCUGGAGCGGGCAGGGUCCAGGCCAGGGAGCGGGGUAGCCCUCACCCAGGAACUCUGCCCCAGGGGGUCUCUUCCUAAAAGUGCUGGAGUUGAUGGAUCUGGUUAGAGCAGCAGAGCCCAGCUCACGGCUCUCCAGGAGUCUGGGGCCCUCAGUGAGGUCUGUCGAUGGGGACUAGGAACUGGGGAGAGUCAGGUGGAAGGGAAUGUUCCAGAAUGCCUAUUUGAGAGACUCAGAACAAACGUGUUUCUUGUCCUUUGUGCCGUGGCCGGGCAUCGUGGAGAAGCUGCAUCCAGGGCGGGCCCAGCCAGGCAGCGCCUGCCUCCCCACUGCCAGCCCCUGAGAUGGUCUCAUCCGCUGGGCGAGCAGGCCAGGGCUGCCCGUCUCCACCUUUGUGCUGGACCAUUUACAAUCAAAGUGCAGCAUCGAGAUACCCAGGAAAGAGCCAGGAACAGGCCAGGAAGCUGCUGCCCCACCACUGACCCCGCCGCUCUCCUUCCCUCCUUCCUUCCCGCUGGGCCGGGCACAGGUGGAGCUCACCGUCGUCCCCCUUCAUCCCUCGGCCCCUCCAAGGCUCAAGGACUGGAGGCCGACUGGGCAGCAGACACGUCACCAUCACCACACUCCCCGUCACCACGCUCCCCCUCACCACGCUCCCCGUCGCCACAGUCCCCGUGACCACGCUCCCCGUUGCCACGGUCCCCGUCACCACACUCCCCGUCACCACACUCCCUAUCGCCACACUCCCUCUCGCCACGCUCCCUGUCGCCAUGCUCCCUCUCGCCACGCUCCCCGUCGCCACGCUCCCCCUCACCACGCUCCCCGUCGCCACGCUCCCUGUCGCCACAGUCCCUGUCGCCACGCUCCCUGCGGGUCUCCCCAUCCCCCGUGCAGCUGAGGGGGCCGCGUGCGGUUCUCUGAGUCUUUGGAAUGUGCAGGCACCUGUGAGGCAACGCCACCUUGGAAAAAUUUGCACGGUUCUGGCCGGGGCUGCCAGCCUCCAAGGACAUCUUGAGGCCAGCAAGGAGGGGUCCAACCAUUUCUCAUGUAUGGCCACACACCACUUCCGUUCACAGAGACCCCAGCCACUCCGGGCGCCAGGUGCUGACGUGCCACAUGGGCAUCUAGUAGACACGGAUGCCGUAUGGGGGUCUGGUAGACACGGAUACCGUAUGGGGGUCUAGUGGACACAGAUGC